GAGGUGUAUAGGUGAUGCUGUCCAACAGGAGUACAGCUUAAUUAUUAUUGAGUGAGUGCUCGAAGAAGGUGAAAAGCCUGUGUGGUUGUUCUUAUUUGUUGGACUGCAGCACUGAAGAGUCUAGUUGUUUGAGAGUACAACUUAAAGUUGGUGGUAAAUUUCAUCAAAGGCUAAAUAUACGAGGGGACUAAUAGCGAACAAGUACCAUGAGGGAAAGUUGAAAAGAACUCUGACGAGAGAGUUCAAUAGUACGUGAAACCAUAUUGAGGAAAACAGAUAACUGUGCUGUUAUGUGGUGUGCCUAUCAACAGUCUGUUUGGUGUUGUGCGACCUGGAAUGUAUGUUGUUCCUACAGCUGGUUGUUCGAGGUUGGCAUAGCAUGAGAGUCUGUGCAAUAGCGCGCACCACUACAUUGAGAACCUAUGCUGCUGCGGCAUCAGACUGCGACAGUGCGUACGUAGUGCGUAGUUGUGUUCUGGGAGCAGCUAGCUAGCGUAGGUUAGCUGUGUGACAGCUGUGAGCAGCGUUUAUGAUAGGUGACCACUGUAUCUGCGAUUUGGUUUAUUCCUUUUUGUGGUGAGUGUGUUAUCGUCAGUAAGCUGCUUCCCAUCAAUGUUUAGCAUUAGUUAUUUGACCCGUCUUGAAACACGGACCAAGGAGUUCAAAUGGCACGCAAGUCAUUGGGCUUUAACACCCGAAGGCGAAGUGAAAUGCAAAUGUAUUGUUAUUUGUGGUUGUACCAUGACGAAGCGAUAAGCUA
Molecule: ribosomal RNA, 760 nt
Filed under: Hyperlaelaps microti
Lineage: Eukaryota; Metazoa; Arthropoda; Arachnida; Mesostigmata; Laelapidae
Description: partial large subunit ribosomal RNA
Rfam family: Eukaryotic large subunit ribosomal RNA
Source: RNAcentral